CAAAGUCCUUUUAGAGUUUUGGGUCAGGCUCAGAUUGAACGCUGGCGGCAGGCCUAACACAUGCAAGUCGAGCGGAAACGAGUUAUCUGAACCUUCGGGGAACGAUAACGGCGUCGAGCGGCGGACGGGUGAGUAAUGCCUAGGAAAUUGCCCUGAUGUGGGGGAUAACCAUUGGAAACGAUGGCUAAUACCGCAUAAUACCUACGGGUCAAAGAGGGGGACCUUCGGGCCUCUCGCGUCAGGAUAUGCCUAGGUGGGAUUAGCUAGUUGGUGAGGUAAUGGCUCACCAAGGCGACGAUCCCUAGCUGGUCUGAGAGGAUGAUCAGCCACACUGGAACUGAGACACGGUCCAGACUCCUACGGGAGGCAGCAGUGGGGAAUAUUGCACAAUGGGCGCAAGCCUGAUGCAGCCAUGCCGCGUGUGUGAAGAAGGCCUUCGGGUUGUAAAGCACUUUCAGUCGUGAGGAAGGUAGUGUAGUUAAUAGCUGCAUUAUUUGACGUUAGCGACAGAAGAAGCACCGGCUAACUCCGUGCCAGCAGCCGCGGUAAUACGGAGGGUGCGAGCGUUAAUCGGAAUUACUGGGCGUAAAGCGCAUGCAGGUGGUUUGUUAAGUCAGAUGUGAAAGCCCGGGGCUCAACCUCGGAAUAGCAUUUGAAACUGGCAGACUAGAGUACUGUAGAGGGGGGUAGAAUUUCAGGUGUAGCGGUGAAAUGCGUAGAGAUCUGAAGGAAUACCGGUGGCGAAGGCGGCCCCCUGGACAGAUACUGACACUCAGAGCGAAAAAACGCC
Molecule: ribosomal RNA, 790 nt
Filed under: Vibrio harveyi
Lineage: Bacteria; Pseudomonadati; Pseudomonadota; Gammaproteobacteria; Vibrionales; Vibrionaceae
Description: bacterial SSU rRNA
Rfam family: Bacterial small subunit ribosomal RNA
Source: RNAcentral